AGAUAGAUAUAGAUAUUCUUAUGGAUAUCAUAUCAUCAGCAAUAUGUACACAACGCUGAUACAAGAUCUAUAUCAUCUGAAUACAAUAUAUCUAUAUAAGGGUGAUUUAGACAUUUCAUUCUAUAUAGACUCUAUCUAAAUUAUGGUUGGUUUUAUAUUUCUAUCUCGAGAACAUCUCCAAGAGACUCUUUAAAUCUAUUGGGAUGCUUGAUUAAAGAGUCAAACUAAGAAAGUGAAGCUCCAAGAGACUCCCACUCUUUGUUUUAGUUUUGUGAAUAGUAACUCAAUAGAUUUUAAAGGGAUCAGGAUCCUCUCCUAAGCUAAGGGUGAGGAUCCUCCUUAGCAAGCCAAUCAGACCGUUUAAAUUUUAUCCAAUGACUACAAACAGAGAGUCUAUCUAAAAGUUAUAAUAAUUGUAACCGUUGGAUAAAAUUUGAAUGGCCCGAUGAGCUUACUCAGGAGGAUCCUCACCCUUACCUCAGGAGAGGAUCCUGAUCCAUUUUAAAGAGGAGGAGAGAGAAUUUAACGAGUGAAAAAAGAUGAGAAAUAUGGGUUGUUUAAAUAUUAAAAUAUUUAGAGUUUGUUAAAAUAUAGCGUUGUUGGAGAUGUUAACCUAAAUUUGGUAACUGAAAUAGUGUUUGGGCUCUAGUUACGUGCUAAACUAACAAAAUCUUAAAGACGUUGUUGGAGAUGCUCA
Molecule: long non-coding RNA, 697 nt
Filed under: Malus domestica (apple)
Lineage: Eukaryota; Viridiplantae; Streptophyta; Magnoliopsida; Rosales; Rosaceae
Description: long non-coding RNA (MDOM_LNC002117)
Source: RNAcentral